GUCAGGUAUGGUGGAGCAUACCUGUAAUCCUGGCUACCAAGAGGCUGAGGUUGGGGGAUCACUUGAGCUUGGGAGUUCUGGACUACAGUGGGCUAAGCUGAUUGGGUGUCCAAACUAAAUUUGGCAUUAAUUCGUUGAAACUCUUAGAGCUGUUGGCCACCAGCCCCUUGCCUAAAGAGGAGCAAGCUGGCCCAGAUUAGAAAUAGAUUAGGUCAAAGUUCCUGUAGUGAUCAUAAUGGGAUUAUGCCUGUGAAUAUCUUCUGCACUUCUAGACUUGGUAAGUUAGGGAGAUAGUCUUUU
This 300-nucleotide signal recognition particle RNA is filed under the name Vombatus ursinus (common wombat). RNAcentral's name for it is "Metazoan signal recognition particle RNA (ENSVURG00010013545.1)". It matches the Rfam family "Metazoan signal recognition particle RNA". Rfam says of the family: The signal recognition particle (SRP) is a universally conserved ribonucleoprotein. It is involved in the co-translational targeting of proteins to membranes. Lineage: Eukaryota; Metazoa; Chordata; Mammalia; Diprotodontia; Vombatidae. The record is from Rfam by way of RNAcentral.